CACAGGCUGAGCAGUAACUUACCCUGUGCAUAUCAGCAGGAAUUGCAAGAGGUCUGGUAUCUGAGUGCCAAACUCUUUGCUGUUCUUUUGAAAGAUGAUCUGAACAAAUGGCUAGAGAAGACUUGCAAAAAAUUAUGCAAAAAGAUUCAAGCAGCAGAGCAGUGGGAAGAGUGAAUGUCAUCAACAUCCAAAGUUUGACCCACCUGCCAGGUGACCAGUGCCACUGGAUACACACUCCA
Molecule: long non-coding RNA, 239 nt
Organism: Vidua chalybeata
Lineage: Eukaryota; Metazoa; Chordata; Aves; Passeriformes; Viduidae
Exons: 3
Source: RefSeq, a predicted model, not a curated record